Molecule: long non-coding RNA, 1050 nt
Organism: Pipistrellus kuhlii (Kuhl's pipistrelle)
Lineage: Eukaryota; Metazoa; Chordata; Mammalia; Chiroptera; Vespertilionidae
Exons: 6
Source: RefSeq, a predicted model, not a curated record
GCGCAGGCUCCGCGCGCCGGCGCAGGAAGAACUCGCCGCCUAGAGCAGCGGCGCCGAGGCUCCUCGAGGAGGACGUGGGCCAGACCUGCAUGUCUCAGCAUUCCCAGCAUCCUUUGGGGCACCUGAGCCUGAGGAGACUUCCUAGCUACGCUGGAACCCAGAGAACAGCCGUGGCCCAGAUACAGGAAGGAGGAAAACCUCCCAGGAAAUGGGAAAAGAAGCUCUGAAUCGAGUACCUACAGAAGUGGAAUCUUUGGUCUCAUGGAGCAAAAGUCUUUUCAACCCACAAGAACUCCCAAAUACUGAUGAAUAGCUUGUUGGAAAGACAAAGCAGGAAUUGGUUCCCCAGUUCCAAAGAUGAAGAAAUCAAGACCCCGUGAGAAGGAAGUGGCUCUCCCACAGUUAAUCACCAUUGAUGAUGUGACAAAAGCUUCGGUCAGAAAUGCUGCUGUAAGAUGCUCCAAAUAACCCCAUGAUUUGGGAUGAUUGAUUAUGGGAAUGCUGCUUUUACUGUACAUCCAAGAGAGAAGAGGAUUUUCUCCCAAAUAUCCUACCGAAAUGGUAUUUUUGAAGCUAUGCUUGCUACUCUGUGUGCUGAAAUCUGAAGACUUCUUCCUUCCUGCAGCAGACAGGUGCUCCCACUACAGAAACAUGAUGUCCCAGGGGACUUUCCCGAGCUCUACUUUGACUCCAGUUUGCUCACUACAGUGAAAUAGGACCCCCAACAUGUCAAAGAAUCAUCCUUUUUACCUUAGCUCUUUUAAGCCAUCCUAAGCAGAGAUUAUUUCUUUACUACUAAACCUGUGAAAUAACAGGUUCGUCCAUUCAAAGCACACCUGUUGUAAAUAGAUACUUUUUCUCUCUUUCUAGUCUUUGUCCCUGAGAAACUUCUCAAUAACUCAACAAAUAAUUUUAAGGGUGUUGAGAGAGAGAUUUUUGGAAUUAUGAUUCAGAAAGAUAGGCCCUGUAUUGGAGAAAUAUCUAGUCCCCAGCAAAAGCAAAACAAAAGGAAAAGAUCAACCAAAGGACUUGUGUGCACACAUAUGAGCC